Molecule: transfer RNA, 75 nt
Filed under: Parabacteroides merdae
Lineage: Bacteria; Pseudomonadati; Bacteroidota; Bacteroidia; Bacteroidales; Tannerellaceae
Also listed under: 11 other names
Description: tRNA-Val
Rfam family: tRNA
About the family: Transfer RNA (tRNA) molecules are approximately 80 nucleotides in length. Their secondary structure includes four short double-helical elements and three loops (D, anti-codon, and T loops).
Source: RNAcentral
GGGCGUUUAGCUCAGUUGGUUCAGAGCAUCUGCCUUACAAGCAGAGGGUCGGCGGUUCGAAUCCGUCAACGCCCA